UACGUAGGGUGCGAGCGUUGUCCGGAAUUAUUGGGCGUAAAGGGCUCGUAGGCGGUCUGUCGCGUCGGGAGUGAAAACUCGGGGCUUAACUCCGAGCCUGCUUCUGAUACGGGCAGACUAGAGGUAUGCAGGGGAGAAUGGAAUUCCUGGUGUAGCGGUGAAAUGCGCAGAUAUCAGGAGGAACACCGGUGGCGAAGGCGGUUCUCUGGGCAUGACCUGACGCUGAGGAGCGAAAGUGUGGGGAGCGAACAGG
Molecule: ribosomal RNA, 253 nt
Filed under: Marmoricola sp.
Lineage: Bacteria; Bacillati; Actinomycetota; Actinomycetes; Propionibacteriales; Nocardioidaceae
Also listed under: 1 other name
Description: partial 16S ribosomal RNA
Rfam family: Bacterial small subunit ribosomal RNA
Source: RNAcentral